GAUGAAGAACGUAGUGAAAUGCGAUAGGUAAUGUGAAUUGCAGAAUUCAGUGAAUCAUCGAAUCUUUGAACGCACAUUGCGCCCUUUGGUAUUCCUUAGGGCAUACCUGUUCGAGCGUCACUACACACCUUAUCACAAUAUUUGUGGUCUUGGCAGGAGUGAAUUGCUGGUCUAUGGAAGUAUUCCAGCAGUACACAAUGCUAAAAAAUAUGGGAAGGUUACCAGAUAUGAACAACAGACUUUGUAAAUGGUUGUAGGACCUAGAUCAGUCACAAGUCAUGUCUGGUCCCUUACCUUAAGGACCCCCAUCCUAGAUGAACUAUGGGUUGACCUCGGAUCAGGUAGGAAUACCCGCUGAACUUAAGCAUAUCAAUAAGCGGAGGA
This 384-nucleotide unclassified non-coding RNA is filed under the name soil metagenome. RNAcentral's name for it is "partial contains 5.8S ribosomal RNA, internal transcribed spacer 2, and large subunit ribosomal RNA". The stretch from base 1 to 120 matches the Rfam family "5.8S ribosomal RNA", at positions 35 to 154 of the family's 154-position model. The record is from RNAcentral.